Molecule: long non-coding RNA, 2046 nt
Organism: Papaver somniferum (opium poppy)
Lineage: Eukaryota; Viridiplantae; Streptophyta; Magnoliopsida; Ranunculales; Papaveraceae
Exons: 7
Source: RefSeq, a predicted model, not a curated record
AACAAAAAUUUCACUAAAAUUCUUUUCCCUCCCAUGGAACCUUAGACGUAUCUUUGCUUAUACUGUUUAUUCUUCGUUUUCUCGGCUUAAGCUUAUAAUUUUCUCUCUCCAAAAUCAAAAACCCAAAACUUCUCUUAGUUUUUAAUCUCCCUAACCGAAACCCAACUUUGAAUCUGAAUGAUUUUUAUUCGACAAAAAAAAAUCACCAAUAACAACCAGGUUUCUUCUCAUUAAAAACCCUAAAAAAAACCCGAAAAUAAUUUGAUUUCUCAGUCAAAAUCUUUAACCGAACCUGACUUCAGAUUGAUGCUCCGUAUGUUGUUUUCUGAAUUACCCCAUAAAAGGUUUUCGUAUUCAAAUCAUUUACAAAUUACGAUUUUCUAUCUAAUGAAGGAAAUCAGAAUUUAUCCAAUUGUAACGGUUGAACUCCAUUAACCUGGCGUGGGUUUCGGUUGUUUGAAGGAUUCGAUGUUUGAGAAUCUAUCUGUAGCUCAAACUAAACUACUCUUAAGAGUUUCUCUCAGAUUUGACAGAAUAUGCUUUUCUCUGCUGACAAUUGGUUCCAUAUCAAAUGGAGUCUGGAUUCUUAACAAGGAUGUUUGAAAGAGGAAAGAGGAUUACCGACCAGUUGAUAUGGCUUUGCUUAGUGUCCCCUUGACAGGACAGGAGUGACUCAAGCAUUAGAUUUUGUCGUUGUUGGUAUGGGAGUUGUAACUGGAACAAGGGUGUUCUGCUAAACCAAUCUUUUCUCUUCAUGACAAAAUUGUUGUGUGAAACUUCUUCCGUAGUUGCAUUCGAUCCAUCGCUGGAUACAGGGAUCAUCCCUUGGUGUUGGUGUUGCAUUUAGUUCAUUUUUAUGUGUCUAGGAACUCUAGGUGUUGGUGUUGUUACCUGUUAUUGGAAUUCACUGUAGUGGUGAAGUACCUCAAGCAUCCAGGGAAGUUUUCAUGCCUUGGCGGAAAGCUGCUCAAUCCCCAAGAGAUGUGCAGUUUGGGAGAAUAACAGGUCUCAUAUUGAAGGGGUACAUUGUUUUAUUAGCAGCAGUUGUAUGGUGAAGAUUACCAUGUUGAGUUGCCUUUUUGAAGCUCUGGCCUAGUUGGCAGAAGUAAUACUCUAAACUAGCUAGCUGCAUUGGUUAUAAAUGCAUACCCUAUCAGCCACUUAGGACCUGCCAUUCUGCCUCUUUGUGAAGACAGUAGCGUUCGUAGCAUUCAACAAGGUUAUUACAACCCAAUACUUCGUGUGGUUCUUCUGCUUGUUGCCUUUAAUACUUCCAUGGAGCAGUAUGAAACUGUAGUGGGAAGGGUUGUCAUUACAUUAUAUUGUGAGAUGUAUCAUCGUGCGUGUGCAUUUGAAUCACCUUGAAUACUUUAACAGGCAGUUCAGAUAUCGUCUAACGGUGUUCAUAAAGAACCCUAGGGCAGUAUAAUUCUCUUAAGAUCUACUGUGAAAUAUGUGGGCAUGACACUCUGAUUAUAAACAAAAACAGGCUUUGGUAGUAACGAUUGCACUUUAAUUUUGUUAUGCAUGAGGUAUCUGUUAUAGAUGAGAAUCCAAAAGAGGAGAUGCUAAAACUGUAGCCGCCAAAAAUAUGGAAAUGAUCAAUCUAGUCGAUAAGGAGUUAUUUCUGUGUAUAUCGGAUGAUAAGCAUAUUUGGCCGAUCUAAACGUCGCUGGGUAUUUCUGUGUGUUUUACCGCACGUUGGAAUUCACACGCGUGUACUUAACUGGCUAUUUUAACAGUGAGGCAUUUUUCCAUCUCUUUUGACGUUGGGGAAGUUCUCCAACAUGGCAUCCCGUAUAAGGACAUUUUUCCAAUUUUCCCAAUUUUAUUUUGUUUGGAAUUGGCAUUGCCUCCGUUUUGAUUGGUGUAUUUAAAAAAAGGAAAUAUUUACUUCAUUAUAUAAUUUGGAGUACAUGUCAUCUUUUAACCGGACAUACAAUAAGUUCAAUUCAUUUUCGUCUUGUAGACCUGGAUGUAUUGAACAUCUUAUUCAGGAUGACAUGAACAGAUCUGUAACUUCCAUUACAUAAUCAGAAAAAUGUA